UUGAUUGAUUCAAUCGUGGACUCGGACGCACAGAUGCAGGGUUUCGGGUGUCCGCCGGGGGCCCCGACGCCCGAAGGCCGGGUCGCCCCCGAGGCAACAGUGGUCGGAUAACAUGGGGUUGGAGGUCGGACCCGAAGGCCCUCGCUCGGUAAUGAUCCCUCCGCAGGUUCACCUACGGAGA
Molecule: unclassified non-coding RNA, 181 nt
Filed under: uncultured fungus
Lineage: Eukaryota; Fungi
Description: sequence contains ITS1
Source: RNAcentral